UAAAGUUUCUUUACAAAUAUC
RNAcentral lists this non-coding RNA (21 nucleotides) under Caenorhabditis elegans. Lineage: Eukaryota; Metazoa; Nematoda; Chromadorea; Rhabditida; Rhabditidae. The record is from RNAcentral.